Molecule: non-coding RNA, 91 nt
Organism: Ameiurus melas (black bullhead)
Lineage: Eukaryota; Metazoa; Chordata; Actinopteri; Siluriformes; Ictaluridae
Source: the annotation of a GenBank genome assembly
GGCUCUGUGGCGCAAUGGAUAGCGCAUUGGACUUCUAAGCUGAAGGGUUGAGGCCAUUCAAAGGUUGUGGGUUCGAGUCCCACCAGAGUCG